RNAcentral lists this transfer RNA (78 nucleotides) under Bacteroidetes bacterium GWE2_40_15. RNAcentral's name for it is "tRNA-Val". It matches the Rfam family "tRNA". Rfam says of the family: Transfer RNA (tRNA) molecules are approximately 80 nucleotides in length. Their secondary structure includes four short double-helical elements and three loops (D, anti-codon, and T loops). Lineage: Bacteria; Pseudomonadati; Bacteroidota. The record is from RNAcentral. RNAcentral also lists the same sequence under 5 other names.
GGGAGCAUAGCUCAGUUGGUUUAGAGCAUCUGCCUUACAAGCAGAGGGUCGGGGGUUCGAUUCCCUCUGCUCCCACAA